AUGAUCUUGACAAAGAUCUGCAUGCCAUCAUGGAGGUGCCUCCCGAGCCUUUGUCCCAACGUGGUUGACUACGUUGGAAGCCGUGGGCUCCAGGGUGGUGCACUCCGCUGGUGUUGGGCGAGCUGCCCCGGCAAGGCUCUUGCCGGGGCUGCUGAGGCCGCCCAGGCAAGGGCCUUGCCGGGGGAACCUGCUGCGCCCCUCUGCUCUUUGUGUUCUUGGCGUUGUCUUGAUUUGUCUUGUGCUUUGGCUUCUCUCCGGCUUCCCUUCUCUGCCCUGCUAAGUAUGGCCGUGGCGCGUGGCUCUGACUGCCCGUGCACAAGUAAAGGGGUCAAAAGGAGAGCCCCUACUUUUGUACACCGACACCAUGCUUGUUAG
Molecule: ribosomal RNA, 375 nt
Filed under: Triticum aestivum (bread wheat)
Lineage: Eukaryota; Viridiplantae; Streptophyta; Magnoliopsida; Poales; Poaceae
Description: partial small subunit ribosomal RNA
Source: RNAcentral